AUGGUGUACUCCUCCUGUUUGAAUCGAAGUUUGGAAUUAAACAAACUUCUCCUAAGGAGGAUAGCUGGGGCGAUUCAGGUGAGAUCCCAUGUAGAUCUAGCUUUCUAUUCACUCGUGCGAUCCAGGCGAGAAGGGGGAGGGGGCACCACGGCUCCUCUCUUCUCGAGAAUCCAUACAUCUCUUAUCAGUGUAUGGAGAGCUAUCUCUCAAGCACAGGGCGAGGUUCAUCCUCAAUGGGAAAAUGGAGCAUCUAACAACGCAUCUUCACAAACCAAGAUGUUGCUUUGUAACUAA
This 294-nucleotide ribosomal RNA is filed under the name Triticum aestivum (bread wheat). Its description in RNAcentral is "partial small subunit ribosomal RNA". Lineage: Eukaryota; Viridiplantae; Streptophyta; Magnoliopsida; Poales; Poaceae. The record is from RNAcentral.